AUGGUGGCCAUGCCUGGUCUCGACCCCUCGAGGACGGCACUGGGGAUGGGGACGGCGGCUGUGCCCAGUCUCGGCCCCUCGCAGGUGGAAUUGGGGAYGGGGAUGGUGGYCGUGCCCGGUCUCAGCCCCUCGUGGGCAGCGUUGGGGAUGGUGGCCGUGCCCGGUCUUGGCCCUUCGAGGGUGGUGCUGGGGACGGGGAUGGGGAUGGUGGCUGUGCACGGUCUCGGCCCCUUGAGGACGGCGUUGGGGAUGGGGACGGCAGCUGUGCCCACUCUCGGUCCCUCGUGGGUGGAAUUGGGGAAGGGGAUGGCGGCCGUGCCAGGUCUCAGCCCUUCGAGGGCGGUGCUGGGGAUGGCGGCCGUGCCAGGUCUCGGCCCCUCGCGGGUGGAACUGGGGACGGGGAUGGCAGCCGUGCCAGGUCUCGGCCCCUCGCGGACGGCAUUGGGGAUGGUGGCCGUGCGUGGUCUUGGCCCUUCGAGGGCGGUGUUGGGGACAGGGACGGCAGCCGUGCCUGGUCUCAGCCCUUCGAGGGCAGUGUUGGGGACGGGAACGGCAGCUGUGCCCGGUCUCAGCCCCUCACGAGCAGCGUUGGGGAUGGGGACGGCGGCCAUGCCCGGUCUCAGCCCCUCACGAGCAGCGUUGGGGAUGGGGACGGCGGCCAUGCCUGGUCUCAGCCCUUUGAGGGCGGUGCUGGGGAUGGGGACGGCAGCUGUGCCCGGUCUCGGCCCCUCGAGGACGGCGUUGGGGAUGGGGACGGCGGCUGUGCCCGCUCUCGGCCCCUUGCGGAUGGAAUUGGGGACAGGGACGGGGACGGCAGCCGUGCCAAGUCUCGGCCCCUCGCGGGUGGAAUUGGGGAUGGGGACGGCGGCCGUGCCAGGUCUCGGGCCCUCGCGGGUGGAAUUGGGGACGGGGAUGGCGGCUGUGCCCGGUCUCGGCCCUUCGAGGGCGGCAUUGGGGACGGCGGCCGUGCCUGGUCUUGGCCCUUCGAGGGUGGUGCUGGGGACGGGGAUGGGGAUGGUGGCUGUGCACGGUCUCGGCCCCUCGAGGGCGGUGUUGGGGACGGGGACGGCAGCCAUGCCUGGUCUCAGCCCUUUGAGGGCAGUGUUGGGGACGGGGACGGCAGCUGUGCCYGGUCUCAGCCCCUCAUGA
This 1149-nucleotide long non-coding RNA is filed under the name Apteryx haastii (Great spotted kiwi). RNAcentral describes it as "lncRNA (ENSAHAG00000017458.1)". The record is from RNAcentral. Lineage: Eukaryota; Metazoa; Chordata; Aves; Apterygiformes; Apterygidae.